RNAcentral lists this ribosomal RNA (427 nucleotides) under uncultured bacterium. RNAcentral describes it as "bacterial SSU rRNA". It matches the Rfam family "Bacterial small subunit ribosomal RNA", at positions 32 to 489 of the family's 1533-position model. The record is from RNAcentral.
AAUCAACGCUGGCGGCGUGCCUAACACAUGCAAGUCGCACGAGAAAGGGACUUCGGUCCUGAGUACAGUGGCGCACGGGUGAGUAACACGUGAAUAAUCUACCUUCGAGUGGGGAAUAACUGAGAGAAAUCUUAGCUAAUACCGCAUAAUACCUACGGGUCAAAGCAGCAAUGCGCUUGAAGAGGAGUUCGCGGCAGAUUAGUUAGUUGGCAGGGUAAUGGCCACCAAGACGAUGAUCUGUAUCCGGCCUGAGAGGGCGCACGGACACACUGGAACUGAAACACGGUCCAGACUCCUACGGGAGGCAGCAGUGGGGAAUUUUGCGCAAUGGGGGAAACCCUGACGCAGCAACGCCGCGUGGAGGAUGAAAUCCCUUGGGAUGUAAACUCCUUCGAUCGGGAAGAUAAUGACGGUACCGAGAGAAGAA